CAAUGAGCCAAUCCUGCAGCUGCUGCCCACCGAACCACACGAAGAACCUUCAGCUGUCAUUCUGCCGCUCGAUGCUGAUGAGCCGGACAGUGCCUGCCGUGAUGUUCAGUGUGUGUCUGUAGUCUCCUCCCUCUCCCAGUGGACAUAAGCAGAGACAUCAUUGGAAUGAUGAGGGGUCCAGAGAGUCGGCUCUGCUGGUUUGAAAGCGCAGAGACACACUGCUUGACUCGCGAGGGAUUCCCUUAUUAUACCAGUGAUAAGGAGAGUUUCACUGGCAUUCAGCCGCUCGAUGCUGGUGAGCUGAUCAGCGCUUGGUGUAAUAUUCAGUUCCUCUCUGCACAGGCCUCCAUCUCCCAG
Molecule: long non-coding RNA, 357 nt
Organism: Hemibagrus wyckioides
Lineage: Eukaryota; Metazoa; Chordata; Actinopteri; Siluriformes; Bagridae
Exons: 5
Source: RefSeq, a predicted model, not a curated record